UUGACUUUAUGCAUUUAUUCAACCAUUACUAUCAGGAGGAAGAUGUGCUCAGUCCUUGGGCCCAUAAAGUUCAGUUUGUCAAUGAAGUUGGCUCUUCAAAGACACACAACAGACAAAAUCUCAGGGAGACUGAUUGAACUGCCCAGGGGUUGGUAUCUGCCCCCACCCCUGCCCCGUUAGGGUUCCGUUCUAUGCUGUGGCCCUGCUCUUAAUCACUAAGAAAGGGAGACUGGAGCCAUCAAAGAGAGACUUCCCAAAGCCCCUGCUCACUCACGCACUCUGGAAGCCUGCCUGAGAUGCUUGCUGCUGUUCUCACAUGUCUCUGCCAGGUGACUGCAGGCACUGACUCCUGGUUCAUGUGUCUGUGUCUCCCCCACGUGACUUCAGUUUCUGCUCUGUCAUCCAUGCGUCUGGGCACAGGUGCUGACUCCAAGAUCCUCCUGCGGUUUCGGUGUGUUCCUCCCAGGCACUCCCCAUCCACAGCCAUUCUUGCCUCAAGAUCCAUAACCGGUAGCCCUGGAGUCUCCACUUCUCGCAUCCUUAAAUUCAGGAUCCUCUUCAUUGAAAGACUCCCAAGGGUCGGGUGUGGUAGUAUAGGCCUAUAAUCCCAGCACUCAGAGCAGACACAGGUGGAUCUCUGUGGUCUAUGUAUGGAGCUCUAGGCUAGGCAGGACUACAUAGUGAAAGCCUCAGGACUCCUCCUGGUGGCUGCAGUGGCCUUCCUCAGCGUCCUGGUCUUGAUGUCUGUCAGGUGGGCGUGUGAUUUUAGGCCAGGGGACUUGUGAAGACAUCAGCGCCACUUCCUAGACCUGUGGAUCACAUCUUGGGACACUCGGUCUGAUAGCCGUUAGAACUCUGGGACCUCGCCGAAUUGUGGUGCUGUGCGGACAGGAGGCAGUCAAGGAAGCUCUGGUGGACCAAGCUGAGGAAUUCAGCGGGCGGGGCGAGCAAGCUACCUUCGACUGGCUUUUCAAAGGCUAUGGUGAGAGGGUCUUCCCAGGCGUAGCCUUCAGCAGCGGGGAGCGAGCCAAACAGCUAAGGCGCUUCUCCAUCGCCACGCUGCGGGACUUCGGCGUGGGGAAGCGUGGCAUCGAGGAGCGCAUCCAAGAGGAGGCGGGCUUUCUCAUCGAUUCAUUUCGGAAGACGAACGGUAAGUGGAGCACCGCAAGUUCUCAGGACCUUAGCCGAACAGUCUCCAAUGUCAUUAGCUCAAUUGUCUUCGGGGACCGCUUUGACUA
This 1238-nucleotide non-coding RNA is filed under the name Mus musculus (house mouse). Lineage: Eukaryota; Metazoa; Chordata; Mammalia; Rodentia; Muridae. The record is from RNAcentral.